RNAcentral lists this ribosomal RNA (198 nucleotides) under uncultured bacterium. RNAcentral's name for it is "partial 16S ribosomal RNA". It matches the Rfam family "Bacterial small subunit ribosomal RNA", at positions 328 to 539 of the family's 1533-position model. The record is from RNAcentral.
ACGCUCGACACCUACGGGAGCAGCAGUGGGGAAUAUUGCACAAUGGGGGGAACCCUGAUGCAGCGACGCCGCGUGAGUGAAGAAGUACUUCGGUAUGUAAAGCUCUAUCAGCAGGGAAGAAAAUGACGGUACCUGACUAAGAAGCCCCGGCUAACUACGUGCCAGCAGCCACGGUAAUCUGAGGCGGGCUGGCAAGGC